AGGCCAAUUUCCAGGUUGUUCUUCCCUCCCCGACAGCAUCGAUUGUGGUAGGGUCCUCGGCCGAUUCUCCCCACCUUUAGGGCGGCGCCGGAUGGAUCUGUCGACCACUAUUAUCGGAGAAGGAGGAGGGACCUGAAAAACUGAGGGUGAGGCUGGAGCUUGGGAUCUGGCCGCGGAGGCCAUGGAUCACCUGGUGGAUGCUCUGCGGGGAGGCAUC
RNAcentral lists this long non-coding RNA (217 nucleotides) under Elaeis guineensis (African oil palm). RNAcentral's name for it is "long non-coding RNA (EGUI_LNC042441)". The record is from RNAcentral. Lineage: Eukaryota; Viridiplantae; Streptophyta; Magnoliopsida; Arecales; Arecaceae.